Globicephala melas (long-finned pilot whale) is the source of this 269-nucleotide long non-coding RNA. RefSeq lists it as uncharacterized. Lineage: Eukaryota; Metazoa; Chordata; Mammalia; Artiodactyla; Delphinidae. The record is from RefSeq and is a predicted model, not a curated record.
CGCUGCGGUCCGGCGCGCCGGAGCCGCCCGCGCGGACGCCGAGAGAAGAGGCGAGGCGGGGAGCUCGAGCGGCGGCCACUGCCACGUCUUCCCGGCAGUGGCGGCGGCGGCGCGGGAGGAGGAAUAACCCAAGUCACCUUUCCUGGAAAUCAGUUUGCUGAAACUAUUGAAACAGCAGUUCUUGAAGAAAAGGAGAUUCUGCACCUUGACCGGAGGAGCGUGACCCUUCCUUCAAAUCCCUCUCCGGACGCACCUUCCUAGCAUCCCCU